This 478-nucleotide ribosomal RNA is filed under the name uncultured bacterium. RNAcentral's name for it is "partial 16S ribosomal RNA". It matches the Rfam family "Bacterial small subunit ribosomal RNA", at positions 28 to 523 of the family's 1533-position model. The record is from RNAcentral.
GACGAACGCUGGCGGCGUGCUUAACACAUGCAAGUCGAACGGUAAGGCCCUUCGGGGUACACGAGUGGCGAACGGGUGAGUAACACGUGGGUGAUCUGCCCUGCACUUCGGGAUAAGCCUGGGAAACUGGGUCUAAUACCGGAUAGGACCCUGGGAUGCAUGUCCUGGGGUGGAAAGCUUUUGCGGUGUGGGAUGGGCCCGCGGCCUAUCAGCUUGUUGGUGGGGUGAUGGCCUACCAAGGCGACGACGGGUCGCCGGCCUGAGAGGGUGACCGGCCACACUGGGACUGAGAUACGGCCCAGACUCCUACGGGAGGCAGCAGUGGGGAAUAUUGCACAAUGGGCGCAAGCCUGAUGCAGCGACGCCGCGUGAGGGAUGACGGCCUUCGGGUUGUGAACCUCUUUCAGCACCGACGAAGCGCAAGUGACGGUAGGUGCAGAAGAAGGACCGGCCAACUACGUGCCAGCAGCCGCCGUAA